Molecule: long non-coding RNA, 165 nt
Organism: Rhodamnia argentea
Lineage: Eukaryota; Viridiplantae; Streptophyta; Magnoliopsida; Myrtales; Myrtaceae
Exons: 4
Source: RefSeq, a predicted model, not a curated record
UAUGCACAAUACUUGAUUUAUUGUUGCGCAUAUUUUGGCCGUGCCCAUCUUGACCGUAGCAUUAGAGACCGCAUUUAGCACAAGAGGUCGUGUGCUUGAUGUGUUUCGUAGCUCGUUGACCCCAAGCAUGGUGGAGGCUCUUAUAUGUGCUCAAGAUUGGUUAUG